RNAcentral lists this non-coding RNA (67 nucleotides) under Ensifer meliloti. RNAcentral also lists the same sequence under 3 other names. Lineage: Bacteria; Pseudomonadati; Pseudomonadota; Alphaproteobacteria; Hyphomicrobiales; Rhizobiaceae. The record is from RNAcentral.
UCGCGGUCCGCAUCCUGCGGAUCGCCCUUGGCCCGGAUCUCGCGAUCCGGGCUUUUUUUUGCGCUGC